Molecule: ribosomal RNA, 355 nt
Filed under: uncultured bacterium
Lineage: Bacteria
Description: bacterial SSU rRNA
Rfam family: Bacterial small subunit ribosomal RNA
Source: RNAcentral
GUCGAUUUAAUUUAAUUCUAGUGGCGGACGGGUGAGUAACGCGUGGGUAACCUGCCUUAUACAGGGGGAUAACAGUCAGAAAUGGCUGCUAAUACCGCAUAAGCGCACAGAGCUGCAUGGCUCGGUGUGAAAAACUCCGGUGGUAUAAGAUGGACCCGCGUUGGAUUAGCUUGUUGGUGGGGUAACGGCCCACCAAGGCGACGAUCCAUAGCCGGCCUGAGAGGGUGAACGGCCACAUUGGGACUGAGACACGGCCCAGACUCCUACGGGAGGCAGCAGUGGGGAAUAUUGCACAAUGGGGGAAACCCUGAUGCAGCGACGCCGCGUGAAGGAAGAAGUAUCUCGGUAUGUAAAC